GAUGAACGCUGGCGGCGUGCCUAAUACAUGCAAGUCGAGCGAACGGACGAGAAGCUUGCUUUUCUGAUGUUAGCGGCGGACGGGUGAGUAACACGUGGAUAACCUACCUAUAAGACUGGGAUAACUUCGGGAAACCGGAGCUAAUACCGGAUAAUAUUUUGAACCGCAUGGUUCAAAAGUGAAAGACGGUCUUGCUGUCACUUAUAGAUGGAUCCGCGCUGCAUUAGCUAGUUGGUAAGGUAACGGCUUACCAAGGCAACGAUGCAUAGCCGACCUGAGAGGGUGAUCGGCCACACUGGAACUGAGACACGGUCCAGACUCCUACGGGAGGCAGCAGUAGGGAAUCUUCCGCAAUGGGCGAAAGCCUGACGGAGCAACGCCGCGUGAGUGAUGAAGGUCUUCGGAUCGUAAAACUCUGUUAUUAGGGAAGAACAUAUGUGUAAGUAACUGUGCACAUCUUGACGGUACCUAAUCAGAAAGCCACGGCUAACUACGUGCCAGCAGCCGCGGUAAUACGUAGGUGGCAAGCGUUAUCCGGAAUUAUUGGGCGUAAAGCGCGCGUAGGCGGUUUUUUAAGUCUGAUGUGAAAGCCCACGGCUCAACCGUGGAGGGUCAUUGGAAACUGGAAAACUUGAGUGCAGAAGAGGAAAGUGGAAUUCCAUGUGUAGCGGUGAAAUGCGCAGAGAUAUGGAGGAACACCAGUGGCGAAGGCGACUUUCUGGUCUGUAACUGACGCUGAUGUGCGAAAGCGUGGGGAUCAAACAGGAUUAGAUACCCUGGUAGUCCACGCCGUAAACGAUGAGUGCUAAGUGUUAGGGGGUUUCCGCCCCUUAGUGCUGCAGCUAACGCAUUAAGCACUCCGCCUGGGGAGUACGACCGCAAGGUUGAAACUCAAAGGAAUUGACGGGGACCCGCACAAGCGGUGGAGCAUGUGGUUUAAUUCGAAGCAACGCGAAGAACCUUACCAAAUCUUGACAUCCUUUGACAACUCUAGAGAUAGAGCCUUCCCCUUCGGGGGACAAAGUGACAGGUGAUGCAUGGUUGUCGUCAGCUCGUGUCGUGAGAUGUUGGGUUAAGUCCCGCAACGAGCGCAACCCUUAAGCUUAGUUGCCAUCAUUAAGUUGGGCACUCUAAGUUGACUGCCGGUGACAAACCGGAGGAAGGUGGGGAUGACGUCAAAUCAUCAUGCCCCUUAUGAUUUGGGCUACACACGUGCUACAAUGGACAAUACAAAGGGCAGCGAAACCGCGAGGUCAAGCAAAUCCCAUAAAGUUGUUCUCAGUUCGGAUUGUAGUCUGCAACUCGACUACAUGAAGCUGGAAUCGCUAGUAAUCGUAGAUCAGCAUGCUACGGUGAAUACGUUCCCGGGUCU
RNAcentral lists this ribosomal RNA (1372 nucleotides) under uncultured bacterium. RNAcentral's name for it is "bacterial SSU rRNA". It matches the Rfam family "Bacterial small subunit ribosomal RNA", at positions 28 to 1381 of the family's 1533-position model. The record is from RNAcentral.